Molecule: ribosomal RNA, 466 nt
Filed under: uncultured bacterium
Lineage: Bacteria
Description: partial 16S ribosomal RNA
Rfam family: Bacterial small subunit ribosomal RNA
Source: RNAcentral
GACGAACGCUGGCGGCGCGCCUAACACAUGCAAGUCGAACGAGCGAGAGAGAGCUUGCUUUCUCGAGCGAGUGGCGAACGGGUGAGUAACGCGUGAGGAACCUGCCUCAAAGAGGGGGACAACAGUUGGAAACGACUGCUAAUACCGCAUAAGCCCACGGCUCGGCAUCGAGCAGGGGGAAAAGGAGCAAUCCGCUUUGAGAUGGCCUCGCGUCCGAUUAGCUAGUUGGUGGGGUAACGGCCCACCAAGGCGACGAUCGGUAGCCGGACUGAGAGGUUGAACGGCCACAUUGGGACUGAGACACGGCCCAGACUCCUACGGGAGGCAGCAGUGGGGAAUAUUGCACAAUGGGGGAAACCCUGAUGCAGCGACACCGCGUGGAGGAAGAAGGUCUUCAGAUUGUAAACUCCUGUUGUUGGGGAAGAUAAUGACGGUACCCAACAAGGAAGUGACGGCUAACUACGUG